Molecule: small RNA, 1003 nt
Filed under: Pongo abelii (Sumatran orangutan)
Lineage: Eukaryota; Metazoa; Chordata; Mammalia; Primates; Hominidae
Description: retained intron
Source: RNAcentral
AAGAUAAGGCGGCUCGCGAACUUCGCGUUUCCUCUUUCGGCCGCGCUGGUGAACAGGACCCGUCGCCAUGGGCCGUGUGAUCCGUGGACAGAGGAAGGGCGCCGGGUCUGUGUUCCGCGCGCACGUGAAGCACCGUAAGGGCGCUGCGCGCCUGCGUGCCGUGGAUUUCGCUGAGCGGCACGGCUACAUCAAGGGCAUCGUCAAGGACAUCAUCCACGACCCGGGCCGCGGCGCUCCCCUCGCCAAGGUGGUCUUCCGGGAUCCGUACCGGUUUAAGAAGCGGACGGAGCUGUUCAUUGCCGCCGAGGGCAUUCACACGGGCCAGUUUGUGUAUUGCGGCAAGAAGGGUUAGCAUCGCGGCGGGGAAGGUCGGGGUGGGGAGGGGUCUGGGUGUUGCCGGAGGAGUUAACGUUCUAAGCCGAUACGGGAAGCUCGCAGGCAGAAGCUUCAGGUGGGGACAUCCGCUUGCCCAGACCAGUGGCCACGGUGGGCAUCGGUGGGUGCUGAGAGAGCUGUACCGGGGAGACUGGAUGUUGAAUGCUGUGCUCGCAACUUCGCGGGCUGCCUAGAGCGAGGGGGUUCGCAUUGCCUCUUACUGUGCUGACGGCCUGAUGCUGCUUCCCCUUGCAGCCCAGCUCAACAUUGGCAAUGUGCUCCCUGUGGGCACCAUGCCUGAGGGUACAAUCGUGUGCUGCCUGGAGGAGAAGCCUGGAGACCGUGGCAAGCUGGCCCGGGCAUCAGGGAACUAUGCCACCGUUAUCUCCCACAACCCUGAGACCAAGAAGACCCGUGUGAAGCUGCCCUCCGGCUCCAAGAAGGUUAUCUCCUCAGCCAACAGAGCUGUGGUUGGUGAGUAUCAGGCAGCAGUUGAAUGCUGAGGGUGAACAGGCUGUGAGCGCCGGUGGACAGCCAGUGGCUAGACUUGGUCCCUGGAAUUCGAUUACCUGUUCUAAAACUUGGGUUUUGUAAGUUUGAGCUCAUCCUGUAGUCUCAGUUGUCAUCA